GGUAUAGCAGCCGCACACACCUUGUUGGAUUUAAAUCUGUGGAUUUAUUCCAUGUGAGCGCCAGAGACUGAGAACGAGGAUGUGAGUACCUGGCUAGCCUUUCACCUCGUGUAUUCGAGAAGGAUGAGGAGCGAAGCAAUGGGGCAGAGAGUCAGCGAGCCAGCGAGUCAGCAGUGGACGCUCUUAAUAUACAGCAGAAGAAACAAGCCUGGGAGGAAAUGUGCUGAAAUGGAGAGUUGUGAGCUGAGGUGGGCCAGACAUCAGCUCACGACAUUGUUGGAACACGCGGUGUUGCCGCUUCUUCCAUGUGAAGAGCGUAUGGCUUGAGAUACCGGUUUGCGCGCGCAUUUCUCUGCUGUGGCGUGUUUUGUGGCUCCUCGCUGAACACUUCUAUCUCUUGACGCUGUGAGUUAGGCUACUUUGACGGUGACUUGAACACUACCACACUGGGCUGCUGUGUGUGUGAGGAAGGUGUGGUGGAGCUGUGAAGUGUGGCUGAGGUGGUGGAGGGAAGCAAGCUGUGCGUUACCCUACAACCACCACCACCGCCGCCAUGUCAUCUUCGUCUUCUUCCUUCUCUUUAUUCUUUUCCUCCUUUCCCUCCGCUGACGUGUGUGUGGUGUUCCUUGACCGCCGUCAUGAGAAAGAGAAUAUGCAAGGUAGGUACAGCUCCUACUUGCGCAGGCUUUGACGUCAAAAUUUAAUGUAAUCAGUGUGUGUGAGUGUGUGUGUGUGUGUGUGUGUGUGUGGAAGAAACGGGAUCAUAACCGAAAACCAUAUGCAUAAUAUGCUAUACUAAUUUAUUAUGUAAGUUGAGUACUCCUCACACAUACUCAACACACAUCUUCAGUACGUACGUAUGUAUGUUCCUCUCAUCAUCAUUGUGAUGUACAGCUUACUGUAUAUUAUGAGAAAGAAUAAAUGAUUGACUGACUGACUACUACUACUACUACCAGUCUAAUAGCACAGGAAUAAAGUAAAACACUACUACUACUAUCAGUCUAAUAGCAUAGGAAUAAAGUAAAACAGUGAAUAAGUGUAAGAAAAGGAAAGUAAUUUUUAAAAUUGAAUGGUGUUUAAGUGAAUUGUUGAUAAGCUUGAUUAAUAAGAAAGGAAUACAUGUGAAGUAAGAAACAAUAAAUUAAGUCAUAGUAA
Long non-coding RNA from Scylla paramamosain (green mud crab), 1155 nucleotides. RefSeq lists it as uncharacterized. The record is from RefSeq and is a predicted model, not a curated record. Lineage: Eukaryota; Metazoa; Arthropoda; Malacostraca; Decapoda; Portunidae. The transcript is spliced from 4 exons.